AGUGAACGCUGGCGGUAGGCCUAACACAUGCAAGUCGAACGGCAGCACAGUAAGAGCUUGCUUUUACGGGUGGCGAGUGGCGGACGGGUGAGGAAUACAUCGGAAUCUACUUUUUCGUGGGGGAUAACGUAGGGAAACUUACGCUAAUACCGCAUACGACCUACGGGUGAAAGCAGGGGAUCUUCGGACCUUGCGCGAUUGAAUGAGCCGAUGUCGGAUUAGCUAGUUGGCGGGGUAAAGGCCCACCAAGGCACGAUCCGUAGCUGGUCUGAGAGGAUGAACAGCCACACUGGAACUGAGACACGGUCCAGACUCCUACGGGAGGCAGCAGUGGGGAAUAUUGGACAAUGGGCGCAAGCCUGAUCCAGCCAUACCGCGUGGGUGAAGAAGGCCUUCGGGUUGUAAAGCCCUUUUGUUGGGAAAGAAAAGCAGCAGGUUAAUACCCCGCUGUUCUGACGGUACCCAAAGAAUAAGCACCGGCUAACUUCGUG
This 491-nucleotide ribosomal RNA is filed under the name uncultured bacterium. Its description in RNAcentral is "partial 16S ribosomal RNA". It matches the Rfam family "Bacterial small subunit ribosomal RNA", at positions 29 to 507 of the family's 1533-position model. The record is from RNAcentral.